ACUUAUCUAACCAAUUUGCUAAGUUAUGUUGAUUAAGUCAUUGAUUGAUUUGAGUUGACCCAUGCCAUUAAAAUAAAUCAGUAUGAUUGAUUUAGGUGUCUCUAGACCAGCCUGUCUCUAGUCUUUUUUAUGACUUGAUAAAGUCAGUGAGAGGAUAUAUGACUGGCAGGUCGAUCUCUUCUCUCAUUCUUAAAUCAUUAAAUCAGUUUAAUUGAUUUAGGUACCCUUGGACCAGCUUGUCUCUAGUCCUCUUCAUGAC
Molecule: long non-coding RNA, 259 nt
Filed under: Elaeis guineensis (African oil palm)
Lineage: Eukaryota; Viridiplantae; Streptophyta; Magnoliopsida; Arecales; Arecaceae
Description: long non-coding RNA (EGUI_LNC070719)
Source: RNAcentral